Molecule: ribosomal RNA, 537 nt
Filed under: Theileria luwenshuni
Lineage: Eukaryota; Apicomplexa; Aconoidasida; Piroplasmida; Theileriidae
Description: SSU rRNA
Rfam family: Eukaryotic small subunit ribosomal RNA
Source: RNAcentral
AUUGGAGGGCAAGUCUGGUGCCAGCAGCCGCGGUAAUUCCAGCUCCAAUAGCGUAUAUUAAAAUUGUUGCAGUUAAAAAGCUCGUAGUUGAAUUUCUGCUGCAUCGCGUCUUCUUUUUGAUGAGUUGGUGUAUUGCGGCUUUUUUCGGAUGAUUUUUUUGUCCGGAUGAUUACUUUGAGAAAAUUAGAGUGCUCAAAGCAGGCUUUUGCCUUGAAUAGUUUAGCAUGGAAUAAUAAAGUAGGACUUUGGUUCUAUUUUGUUGGUUUUAGGUACCAAAGUAAUGGUUAAUAGGAACAGUUGGGGGCAUUCGUAUUUAACUGUCAGAGGUGAAAUUCUUAGAUUUGUUAAAGACGAACUACUGCGAAAGCAUUUGCCAAGGAUGUUUUCAUUAAUCAAGAACGAAAGUUAGGGGAUCGAAGACGAUCAGAUACCGUCGUAGUCCUAACCAUAAACUAUGCCGACUAGAGAUUGGAGGUCGUCAGUUUAUACGACUCCUUCAGCACCUUGAGAGAAAUCAAAGUCUUUGGGUUCUGGGGG